Molecule: unclassified non-coding RNA, 224 nt
Filed under: Udeniozyma ferulica
Lineage: Eukaryota; Fungi; Basidiomycota; Microbotryomycetes; Colacogloeaceae
Description: ITS 2
Source: RNAcentral
ACUCUUCAACCCACCGGUUCCUUGUUGAACCGUGUUGGCGCUUGGUUUCUGAACGUUGCUGGUUCCUCGUGAACGCUAGCUCGUUUAAAAUUCAUUAGCAUCUCAAUUUCGAAACGUGGAUUGACUCAGCGUAAUAGACUAUUCGCUGAGGACACUGCUUGCGGUGGCCAUGUUAGAUAACGAUUGAUGCUUAUAGCACUCUAUCUAGUCAUUCUUUCUAAGAU